UACCAAACUGAAUAGUAAGGGGCUGAUUUGGAUCUUCUCCAUCCCUUCUGUCUCGCUCAAACUUCGACCUCCUAGAAGAAGUCUCUGGCAAUUCUUCCGUAGGUUCACCUGUACCAAUCUCUUCACUGUCUUUGAGAACAUCUUGAUUGGCUGUCUCGAGUAGUCUAGGUGCCUUAGGACGUAGCAUUCCCUGUUGCCUCAUCAUUCACCCAUAGUUCCAUUGAAAACGCCUUUGUUGGGUUCUAGUCAUCACGUUGAAAGGUAUCACCCUUCCAGCCUUAUACUAGAACGAAUGCCAUACAUUUGGUUGGUGAGGUUGUGGUCAGAAUGUUUUCCCAUUAUUUACUGGCCUGAAUUGCCUCUCAAAAGGCGGUCCCUUAUAGAACGAUGUACCCCGCUCUCUACCAGGCUGAGCGUUUGGAAAAAAAUUAGGGCGAUGGUGAUGCUGCCAUAUCCCUGGUUUCUCUACAUUUGCACUCACUUCUUUUUUGCAUCUUGUACAUAGGACGUCUUCAUCCUUUUUGGGCUCCUUCCCUUUGAUACGUUCAAAGACGCUGGGAUGUGGUCCAGGGUCUUCUUCUCCAUCAUCUAUAACCAAUUUGAAUUUUAGCAACUUGUUUUUGAAAUCAGACAUCACCAUGUUCAUUCCAAGUGGCUGUGGAAAAGGAUUUUCAUCCACUACCAUCUUCCUCUUAUCCUUGAACGUAAUUCAUCCUAAUUCAAUGGCAUCCUGUAAUACAUGGCGAAAAACCAAACACUUGUUAGUCAAAUGUGACCAUGCAUUAUGUCAUUUACAAUAUUUUUUACCCUUAACUUGUUCAGGGCUUGGCAAUUUAUGUUUAUCGCUCAGCUUUAUCUGAUUAUCCUUAUAUAAUUUAUCAAAUAUAAGGUCAACUUUGGUUACAUCAAAUAAGAACGUUCUAGCCUCUAUGUUUUCAUCUUUUAUAGGCUCAUCCUUGCCCGACGGUCUAGGUUUAGCCAUUAUAGAACAAGUAUACGUGUCUCCUUUAACUAAUUCGGCCAAACACAUUUCGGUUUGAUCGUAAUACUCGUCAUUAAUAGUAUGAACAUCAAAAUUUGGGUCUCUAUAAUAAGUCCCCUUGCUAGAAUUUUUUAUUUGCUCUUCUUCUCUUAUUAAUCUUUCAUACAUAAUCACGUUCGCGCUCAAUUGAAAAAGAUCAGGAAAUUCCUUGUCUUGGAAUUUCUUUUUCAAAUCAAAACUUAAGCAACCUUGAGCGAUUUUGACAAACUCCUUUUCGGGCAAAGGUACAAAACAUUUACUUUUUGCCAUCUUGAACCUUUGAAUGAAACCUUCUGCCCAUUCGUUUGGCAGUUGACGUAGAUUCGUCAAAUCGAUCAAAGUAACUUCAGACUCAGUCUUAUAAAACUGAGCGUGGAACAAUUGCUCCAAUUCUUGCCAUGUUUGGACAGAAUUUGCUGGCAAAUUGAUGAACCAGGAGAAGGCUACUCUUGUUAAUAAACUAGGGAACAACCUCAUUUGAUGGUAAUCAGUUACGUCACCACUUUGCAGUGUGAAUCGCCCUAUGUGUUCUAGAGUAGACACCUCUCCUAAACCGGUAAACAGUGAGAAUUCUAGCACUUUAUACCCUCUAGGCCAUGGAUAUGCUUGGUCUACCCAAUCAGGAUAUAGCUUUGUGUAAGUCGGCCUAAUGACAGGACGUAACCCAAAAUCCGUCUGGUCCUGCACUAUUUUCAUAAUCUAAUUCCUCAACAUGAUGUUGGGAUCAUAUAGAAUUCUUACAGGUUGGUUGACCGGUUGAUUUGCUUGAGGCCUGAUGUUUGGUCCUUGGUUGGAAACAAAGUUGCCAUGAUUUGGGCUAUUGUUACCAUUAGUCUGAACAUUUAUUCCAUCAUUAACACGUGAGGUAUUCUGUCCAUUAUUUAGGACAUUAUCUCUUACGUUUAAGUUACCCCCAAGUUAGAUGUACCAUUGCCACUAUUCUGAUUUGGUAUUAUACCACCUCCUUAGUUUGAAGUAGAGGGAUCAAAAGGUGAUUCUAUCCCUUGAUUUAAACUUAGGAUUGGGGGAUUAUGUCCCACAAUCGACCUAGUUUGAAAGUGGUUUGCAAGAGACACAACUGGCUGACAAAUUUGGCUUACUAACUUAUUCAUUAUUUCGUUCAAAGUAUUCAGUUGUUUGGCCAUGUUGUCAUAAUGUGCAUUCCUAUUCUGGGUAAGUCUUUCCAUAUUAUGAAUAUUUCGUAGAUUUACCUGUUCAACGACAUCUUGUGUGAGUUCUNNNNNNNNNNNNNNNNNNNNNNNNNNNNNNNNNNNNNNNNNNNNNNNNNNNNNNNNNNNNNNNNNNNNNNNNNNNNNNNNNNGUUGCUCCUCAUAUCGCUCGAUCACAGAUUGGACUCCUCCCUAACUUGCUGCUUCCUUAUCGGAUUUCUGAGGCAUAUUUUUUCACCUUUUGUAUCUUCAACACCAAACACCAAGGUCCCAUUGGGCGUGCCAAAUUAUUUCACGCGGGUAGUCGCUAACAAUUAAAAAGGGAUCAGACGAUUGUGUAAGGAACAAACCUCUUGAGACAAAGUCCCAAAAAUGGGUGUUUUAUUGGCGAUGACUUUACAAUUGGUACUUAAACAGAAUGCCUCCAAGGGGCGCAAUCACACGAGUACUGAAAGGAAAUGUUUAAAUCUAAACUAAGAAAUUGAAAUUACAUAUUCUCUGUUUGAGAGUGUUUGAUUCGGGGUCCUUUUGCUCUAUGUCUUCUCUUCCUUUUAUAUUCCCUUGAUGAUUUCUUCUUGAUCAACCGCUUAGAAAUUGCUUGAUUGUUUUAUAACUACCCACUUCCUUCAUGGUGGCCAACUUAUCGUGGAACUGCCGUCUCUAACUGCUGCCACUACUCUUUGUCGUUCAACCGUCUUCAACUGAACUCCUUGAAUCGUGUGUUUCACGCGGGUAGUCGCUAACAAUUAAAAAGGGAUCAGACGAUUGUGUAAGGAACAAACCUCUUGAGACAAAGUCCCAAAAAUGGGUGUUUUAUUGGCGAUGACUUUACAAUUGGUACUUAAACAGAAUGCCUCCAAGGGGCGCAAUCACACGAGUACUGAAAGGAAAUGUUUAAAUCUAAACUAAGAAAUUGAAAUUACAUAUUCUCUGUUUGAGAGUGUUUGAUUCGGGGUCCUUUUGCUCUAUGUCUUCUCUUCCUUUUAUAUUCCCUUGAUGAUUUCUUCUUGAUCAACCGCUUAGAAAUUGCUUGAUUGUUUUAUAACUACCCACUUCCUUCAUGGUGGCCAACUUAUCGUGGAACUGCCGUCUCUAACUGCUACCACUACUCUUUGUCGUUCAACCGUCUUCAACUGAACUCGUUGAAUCAUGGAACGUGAUAAGAUUACUCCAUAACUGUUUCGAUAAUUGCACUUUUGGAUAACCAUAACAUCUUAUGUUUGCUAAGAUCCUGGGCGAUUCGAAAGUUUGGGCGAGAAUAGGGUCAUAACUUUGGGCUACCGCAAGGCACUUCAUUCACUCAGAUCUUGACCGUCUUGCAAGUUUGAGUGAUGGUGUUACCGCGUUCGUAGGCUUUCACUACAUUCAUUAAUAACCUUAUUUGGGCCUUUAUCUUGAAUUGCCCAAUUGGGCUUCAUUCUUUGGGCUGCACUUUUAGCGUGUCAACAGGACCAAAUGUAAUUAGAAAGAUGGCUUUUAGCAGAAGAUUCUUUGGGGGAAGGUGGAGAAAAUGGAGGACCAGGUUUUGAAGAAAAGCAACAUAUUCAUGCUCUUUAUACAAUGCUCAAACACACGUUUGCAUUUUGCAUAUCAGAUUAUGUGCCCUGGUUGAGAUGUCUAGAUAUUGAUGGCCAUGAAAAGAAUGUAAGGAACUCCAUGAACAUUUUUGACAAAUACCAUGAUCCAAUCAUAGAAGAUAGAAUCAAACAAUGGGAAGAUGGUAAGAGAAAGGAGGCAGAGGACCUUCUUGACAUUAUGAUAACGCUUAAGGAUGAAAGUGGGAAGCCACUUCUGUCGAUAAAUGAGAUCAAAGCUCAAUGCGGUGUAAUGUCAUUUCUGUUGCUUAUAUAUAUUGUGACAUGGCAGUACUUACAUAGUUUAAUAUAAUCUUGUUAUUUAGGAGUUCUUUUUUGGAGUAGAUGGUCCUGCGGCAGGAGCAGAAUGGGCGCUAGCAGAAAUGAUUAAUUAACCUGAGAUUCUCCAAAAGGCAGUCGAGGAAAUAGACAGGGUUGUAGGGAAAGACCAAUGGAUUCAAGAAUCAGAUGUUCACCAAUUAAAUUAUUUGAAGACAUGUGCAAGAGAAGCUUUCAGGCUGCAUCCUCUCGUUCCGUUCAAUUUGCCGCACCUGUCAUCAACAGACAUACUUCAUUCCGAAAGGCGGCCAUGUCUUGUUGAGCCGAAUUGGACUGGGUCGUAACCCUGAGACCUGGGAAGAACCCUUGAAAUACAAUCCAGAGCGGCAUUUGGGUGGAAAUGUCAGCAAAGUAGAUUUGUCAGAACCAAACUUGAGGUUCUUGACUUCUUCUACUAGUAAGCGUGCAUGUACGGGACAGAGUGUUGGUACACUUUUGACUAUAAUGGCAUUGGGAAGGCUGAUUCAAGGGUUCACAUGGAGCCUACCACCCAAUGAAGAGAAGAUCGAUCUCUCUACAUCGGAAGAAUUGACUGUGGCUAAACCUUUGCAUGCACAUGCAAGGCCUCGCUUGGAUGAGGCGUUGUACCAACUUUGAAGAGGUUAAGAAAUAUGUCAAUUGGAGACAUAUAGCUAGCUAUUGUAAUACCUAAGUACUGCUGUAAUAUCAGAGUACUUCGUGAAUAAAUAAAAUUGGUAUUUCAGUAUUUCAACAAUGCGCACAGUCUUGUUGCAAUUUCUAUUUAUUCGUGCCUCGUUUUAUUUUGCUAAGAUCUAUUUUUCAAAAAAUGAGUAGUUGAUAAAUGGACAAUGCUUGUGAAUCAUAUGAGUGUGAGGUCAAAAUUAAUGUUUGAUUUGAAAAAUAACAUUUUAGGAGAAAAAAAUGAAAAGCAAACGAAAGCUAAGAAUGAAUUCAAACGUAGAAUUCAUUGUUCAAACUCUUAAUUUUUAUUUAAUACUUGCCAAGUAUGGUAGUUUAUUAUUGCUGGAGAUAAUCAACUUUAGUUGUUCUCUAGAAAGAAUCAGUUGGAAGAACGGUCAAUUAAGUGUUCACUUUUAUUUUAGAAUUAUUUUAUAUUUUGAAAUCAACAUUUGAAACUUUGAUAAAGUUCUUUAUCUUUGUGUUUAUAUACAAAUAAUAAAACAUAUUAAUAUUAAGUUCAUAUUCUUUUUAAUCAUACAUAUUAAGUUCAUAUUCUUUUUAAUCAUACAUUCUUUAAAAAAAAUAAUAAUAAAUAAAAAGUCUUUUAGCAAAAUCUAUCUAAAAAUAUGCCCUAAAUAUUCAUUGACACUGUUGUACAAACUAUUUUACUUCUAUAACAAAAGGUAAUGAACUGAAAUCUUUAAAUAUGAAUCUGAUUGUUCAUCAAUCCCACUAACUUCUAAUCUUCUACAUUGAACUUGAAACAGCAAUUUGGAAAAUGUCUUUUGCUUCAAACCCCAUUGCUCCAUAAAAAUCGCCAUUAUCUUUAUGAAGGCAGACUGGCAAUUGGUUUCAACGAUGAUGAAGUUUUGCAAAUGUCUAAACCUUUCAAGUUGUCACUUGUAAGCAAAUAUCUCAUUUUAGUCUUCAUUUUCAAAAUAUUACAAAAGUGGUCCCUUCCUUUGUACUUUCCUGUGACGAGUUUAAGAUUGGUCACCUAGACACAGUGGCGAAUCUAGGAUUUCGACUCAGCUAGUGCGGUCGUUAAUCGUUGGCCGUUGUCCGUCGAUAAUUAACGAGCGUAUAGCGAUAUCGUUUAUUAAUAUUAAAUUAAAUAAUAUUAAAAAUUCUUCGAUCUAUAUGUAAAUAUACUAAAACGUAAAAAUCAUAUAUUUAUAUCAUAUUAUAUUUCCAUACAAUCCGAAAUAAUAUAAAUUACAUGAUACAUAAGACUUCUUUGUGUUAUCAAUACUUAACAAAUCGUUUGUUUGGCUAAAAGUGGUCGAGAGAUUAGAUCACCACUACAAAAACUAGAUUAAAAUUCAGUUGAAAAAAUCAUUCCAUAAUUAGUAUGAGAAUUGAACGUUAAUCAAAGAUUAAACGUAAUUAAAAGUAAUUUUAAAAUAUAAUUAAAGUUUCAAUUUUCAAUUCUCAACACCAAUUCAUCAUAAAUUAUAAAUUCCCCAAUUUCUCAUUUUUAAUUUUCAUGAAUCAAAUAUUCACAUUUCACGAUAUUCAAAUUAAUUUUUUAUAUCACAAUUCACAAUAGACAAAUUCUCAAAUAACAUAUAAAUUAAAACUCAAUACUUGUAAGUCAUAUCUUAUAAAUUAUUAAAGCAUAAAAUAUUUAAAAAUAAAAAAACCAAAAAAAAAAAAAAAAACCUUUUGUAAAGUCUUAACAUAUACUAUUUUGUUAAAUUUAGAUUCAAAAUUCAACCAUUACCAUAAUGGUUAAGCUUACAAUCAUCCUAAUUCUAGAAGUUAUAGGUUUGAAUCCUUUCCUUAGAGAAUAAAUUUUGGUAAAUAUUGUAGAAAUAAAAAUUUUGCACAAUGAAAUGAAGGGGUUGGAAUCGAACCCAAGACUUACAAUAUAAAAAAGGAAGCUCUAACCAACUAAGUACAAGAGAGGUUUAAGAGAGUAAUUCUGUAAAAUAUUUGUAGAACAGUUUUGCUACAAGUACAGAGAAGUUUCACAAAUUUUUUUGUCACAUGUCAAGUGUCAACACUGCAUCAGUUUGUUUUAAUCUAUUUUUUCACCAUCCAAUCCAAGCACGCCACCUCUCUUUUGUUGAAACUUUCCUGUGAAACAUCUCGAUACUUAUGGCUUUUUUCUUUGUAGAAUCAUGUUGCGCUUGCUAGUAUUUAUAGCCUAUUUUCAUAAUUAUGGAAUAUCAUGUUUCCACUUUUUCAUAAAUAUUGCUUUAAAGAUGAAUUAAAAUACUGAAUUGGGAAAAAAAGUGCGUUAAAAACUUAGAAUAGGUUCAUAACUUAGACAUUUGGAUAUUGCAUGGCAGUUCUAUGCAUACGUAAACAAUUCUCAAUGUCGAACCAAAGUUCAUUAUUUUCAUUUUAGUCAUCUUCUAAUCUUUGAAAACGCCUACUUUGAAAAUUUACUAGUUGUGAACUUUCAAUGGAUUGAAUUACUCUACAAAUUUUUAUUUUAUUUUUGAAUCUUGUGGUUUAAAGGUCAAACUUAUAAAAAAAAUAAAAAGGAGUAGUAAUUAUUAAUUUAUAUUUAUUUAAGACUUGCCAUUUACACGUCCAAUACAAUUACUUCAUUUAUUAUGGUCUUUUUUCUUGCUUAUGGAUCAUGAACAAUAAUUUGCAAUUAGAACUUUAAACAUCCUCAAAACUGCUUUGAUGAGAUCAAAGCAAUCUCCCAAAUAAUAGCCAGGUGUAAAAUGAGCAAAACAAAGAGUAACUGUUAAGAAAAAGUUUCAAGUUCACAUGUAAUAUGAUUUUACGGGAGUGUGUAUGGUUAAAUGAAUUUUUAAAAAAAUAUAUUUUUGAAAAAAUAGAACCAAACAGGGACUUAGUAUUGAAAGGCACAAAUUUAUUUAUUUUAAAUGAAACUUCAUUUUAUAGUUUGAAGUCCUUUUUAGUCAUAAUCAAACUGAAUUUUAUUAGAACUCCCAUAAAGUUGACAAUAUACUGAAUAUAGUAAAAAGCAUAAAGUUAGAUAUUAUUUAAAAAAAAAAAAAAGAAAAAUCUCCCCGUAAAUUUUUGUUUUAUUUUAUUCAAACAUAUUUUCGUUCCUUGUCAAUCAUUUUGCCCUAAUUUGGUGAAAAUUAAAACUAAUUUUUCAUAAUUUUUAAUUAAAAAUGGAUAAAAUAAUAUUUAAAAAAUUGUGAAUCAAUUAUUAACUUUGACUUAAAUUAAAAUCUAAAUUUUAAUCCAUCUCUCUUCUCUUCUUUUAUUUUUAUUUUUCAAAUUAAUGCUCGAAUUUAUUUUCGAUGUUCUUGUAUUUUAAGAUCUUAAUCUCUUACCAGUUUGCAAAUUAAUGCACGAAUUCAAUUUUCUGUUCUUCUAUAUAUACUAAAAAUUUAAAAUUAAAUUUUUUAAAACUCAAAAAUUGAAACUCCACACCGCAAAUCAUAUAGCAAAUAUUAUUUUCAUUCAUAAUUUAAAAAAAGUAUUGGGAUACAAUUUUGAUUCAUCAAUUGAGUCUUAGGUUUGCUUGCAAUGAUCACUAAUUUGAGUCGUAAACUUCGGGAUCCUAUGGGAUGAGUCGAGGUGCGCAUAAGUUGGUCUCAACACCCAUGAUUAUAAAUAAAAUAAAAUAAAAAUUAUAUAUAUAUGACAUAAUAUAAUGUAUUUAUUUAUAUUCGCAUACUGCUAAACUUUUGCCUUCAUUGUAGCUUAACAUAAAAUCCAGAAAUACAAGUAUACUUCAUAUUCCAUCAGACCCUCACUGACCUCCGAAGCUCGCACUAUCUAAAUGAGCAUAACUCUUUUAAUUGAUCCUCGCGGCAGCCGCAACCUUUGCUGCCACUCCACCUGGAUGAGCAGUCAAACUAGGAUCAUUCCGCAGCUAUGCACUCAUAAUCCCUUCAGCAUCUUCCCUCGUUGCGGCCUUAUCCGCCGGCAGUUUUGCCUUGGCUCCCUACACACGUCAACAAAGUCAAGAAAAACGUCUUUCUUUUCACCUGAAAUAUAUAAUUGUUUUUCCUUCUGAAAAGUUGAAAGUUGCAGCCAAAUUUUCUCUAUUACGCAACUUAUAGCAAUUCAUAAUUAAGUGUCCCAAAUGCUUGCAAUAAAUUUGGAAGUCAGACUUUAAUUUGCCUCCCGCACAAUCACCAUCAAGAACUAGGUCAUCUUCAUGAACCUCAACAAUACACUUCAUCUUCUCAUUUGAAAAUAGAACAUCACAUAUUUCUUCAAUGAUGAGAUCACGAUUAUAUAAGAUUGCCUCUUUAAACAACAAAUAUGAAGCGGGUACAAAAUACAACAAAAUCAAUCGCAUAUAAGUGAGCACUGCUCGCUUUCUAACCCAUCACAACGAAAAUCUUGUAUUGUGAUCCAAUAGCGGAAUGUUAAACUUCAUAGUUACCAUCACGGAAAACCUCGAUCUUACCAAGAAUUUCAAAACCAAAAGCUCCGGUACUACUUGUUAUGAAUCAGAUUAGAUUUGAAACCACUUUUUGAAAAGUGGAACAAUUUUGAUACCAAUUUUUUAUGAAAAGAUAAGAGAUUAAAACAAUUAUAUAAAGUAAAGAUCCUAAGAACACCAGAAGAAAAUAAGUUGCAGAAAAUGGAGAUUUUAAUAUAAUAUGAAAAAAUUGAACAAAGAUUACGUGUUUAUAAUGUUUCUAACUUGUAUUGAAGUUAAAUAACCCAACUAAAUUAUAGAGAAUAGUCAAAUAUAUAUAAAGAACAAUUCAAGCCCUAAAAGUAGAGUUGUAGACGAAAUAUAAUGUUUGGAAGUUUUCUUAUCUUGAUCUCUUUAAAUUCAAUACAAAUUUCAACUCUCAACAGGGCUUUUGUAUAGAAUUUCAACUAGAAUUUGUCAAAUGGAUCUUGAAUAGGAUUUCAAAAGCAUUUUAAACUUCUUAACAUGCAAUUUAAUUAGAACUCUCAAUUAUUUUCAAAAAAGAAUUCGGGUUACAUCCAAAUUGUAACAGAUGUGAAUAUAAAUUGUAAUGAGAAUUAAAAAUUUUUGAGCUAAUUUCAAGAAUUAAAGAAGAUUAAAAUUGUUUACCUUUUUCGAAGCGUCACAUAAAAGCUUCCCAAACAUUUUCAAUCCAAAAUAAAAUAUCAAGCAACAGCAUGCAAGCAUCAUAAUCAGUCCACCAUCACCCAAAGGAUCAGCCUUAACUCAUCUUCUCUUCAUACUUGACAACAAAUGUCAAAGAAUUAAUUCUGAAAUCAAAAGAAACUAAAACCUUAUUUUGUAAUGUCCAAUCUCAUUUGUUAAGGGAUAAAUCUCACAUCGAUUGAAUAUCGAAAUAUAAACCAACAUAUAAAGGUUUAAACCACUCCUCUUAGCCCCUAUUGGACUACCACUAAAAUAAAUUUUUUUUUUUUUUGGAAAAAAUGAAUUUUAAAAUAGUGAUUUUUUGGAUAAUAUGUGGUUAAAGCAAGAAUAAAAUUUUGAUUUACGUGCAAAAUAUUUUAUUAUAAGAAUGUGUAAAUAAAAAUAAGUUUGAGAAAAAUGAGUUUUAUUAUAAGCUCCAGUGAGAAAUUUUACUAGAUUAAGACCUAAAAAAGAACACAAGAAUUUCAAGAUUGAUAUAUUCAAACCAACAGUCAUCUUGCAAGGGUGGGGUAUGUAUAAAUUUCAUACUGAUUAAAUAUCAAAAUAUAAAUCAACAUAUAAGGGAUUUGACUACUCCUCUUAAUAAGAUUGAUCUUUUAAGAAGAAAAUUCAAUCAUUAUAUUGUCUAGUAUUGCAUGUCCAACAUGUAGCAUGAAGAAAAAGUUUACAUUUUGCCACUUGUUAAGUUUCUGUCAAACUCGAACUUGAAACAACAAUAAAAACUCAGAUUUUGGGUUUAGAAUGAUGUCUUUUUUUGCAUGAAAGAACGUUUAACAUACUCUUAAAUUGGCGAGACUCAUUGACAUUUUAGCAUAAAUACAUUUAUAUUGUGGCUGCUCCAACUCGGUCGGCCUUGACCGUCAAAUUUUGUGACUAGAAAUACUACGGUAGUCGACCUCAGAGAAUAACUUUAUGUUAUUGAGAUUUUAGUGAAUAUUAGUAAUUACAUUUAAUCCGUCUCUAGUUGCGAUUAUUCCAAGAUUUUUAGCAAUAUUUGAAACGUUAAUAAAGCAGCUGAUCUCAGCUUAACAGCAACAGUUGAAUGUUUUCCUACCCAAUAGUUUUAGUGGAAUGGGAAAUGACCGCUAAACCCUUUAUUUUUUGCAUUCAAAAGUCUUCAGCCGGGCAUUAUUUGGGAUUACAAAGAAAAGGCCUUACAGCUGAUUUUUUUCUGUGUCAACAAUUUCGGCUGAGUCGGGACCCACUGCACAAUAUGACGUUCGAAAUAUUGCUAAAAAUCCUAGGAUAAUCGCAACCAGACAGAAGCUUAUUCUGUGGUGGCCCCAAUUCGGUCUGGCAGGCAAAUUUUUUGAGUAUAUUGUUGGGAAAUUAUUAAUUUAUCAUGUUGGUCUAUAUAUAUAUAAUUAAUUUUGUAUAAAGAAUAUCUUAAAAUUAAGUCCGUUUAAAUGAUUUAAUAAAAAAUUAGAGUCAUUGGGCUUUGGCAUCUAAUAAAGUGUGAGCCUGAAUUUGUAUGGAGGUUAGAUUCCUUUAGAAUUGUAUUUUAUGACGGGUAGAAUACAUAUCAAAAUUAUAUAUAGGGUUACGGUUCUCAAUUCAUAUAUAAAUUUCAUUUUAUGUGUCAUCCCAUCAAUAUAAGAAUAAAAAGAGAAAAUAUAUUGAAGAGGAAGAUCCAAAACCUACAAUCAAGGUCAAUAAUUAAGAAGAAUGUAUUGAAACAAUCAAGAUUAUAGAGUAAGAAGCCAAAGUCAAGAACAAGAAUUUAGGAAUCAAAAGAGGCAAUAUUUAAGAUUAAAGAUUAAGAAACCAAAUGUGAAAAGAUUGCCAUUGAUCUCCAAAAUUCAAGAUACGGAAUCAAGAUCCAUUAAUAAAAAAUCAUUCCCAAUAUGUUAAGUAGUUAUAUUUCUCACUUAGUAAUACUUUUUAAUUAUUUGGCUAGAGGAUCUUGGCAAUAUAGUAAUUAGGUUUCCAAGUUCUUGAGAUUAAAUGUUCUAUAAAAUACUAACAAGUGGUAUCAGAAACAAUAAAAUGUUAAACCAUGAGAUUUUUUAGAGUUGAAUUCUGUACUUUGGAUUUUUAAAUUUUGGGAUAUGAAUUUCAAUCCCUAAAUUUCAAAAAUUUUGGAUUUUGUUUUUGGAAUUUUCAGAACAACAGAAUUGUUGCAGCGCUACAACAUUGCGUUUCGACUAGGAAUAGCGUAAAUAGCGUGGCAAAGCCAUAGAGUUGCACCAGGUGCUACAGUGCCCGAUCGCUACUUGGGGUAUCCAGGUAGUGUCACAUUGCCCAGUUUUAGGCCCUGCAACUCUAAUUUACUGUACAUAUUAAAUUUUAUUUUUUAAAAACAAAAGAAAAAAAUUAAAUUAAAUUUAAACAUAAGGGGCAAUCAAAUUCAAAUUUUGGUACUAUUUUUUUUUUUUUUUGAAUUGCUAAUUUCUAAAAUAGAUUAGUUGAAACAACAAAGUAACAUCUUUUGGUUAAAUUAAUUUAUUUGGAACAUUCUGAUAAUUGUAUUUAUGUAAUUAAUGCAGGUAUUGACUGGUCCAAAAUAAAGUAAAUAUUUGGUUUAAUUGUAUGUAUACCAUUGAUAUUAAAUAUGCGACAAUUAUAAAGUUUUUCAUUAUGUGAACAUUAAGUCGGUCCAAAGAUAGACUUGAUGUUGGACAAGAUUUAUUGUCAAUAUUUGAUUAUUACACUAAGAGCACCACUUGCAAGUUGAUAUUUUUGUCCAAAUAUUAAAUAUCAAUAUUAUAUCAUCUCUUGAGAUAGGCCUGCCAUUAUUUGAAAUUGUUAAUUAUCUAAUAUGAAUUCUCAUGUGAACAUAUUAUUUUGAUUUACAUUCUCUAUUUAGUUAAUUCAUCAACUUGUACAAUAUCUAUCAGUAUUAAUUCAGUUUCUUUGCUUGAUGAAACUAAAUUUUAAGGACUAUAAAGAGAAUGGUACUUUAAAAAGUGGAAUCGUUCAACUUGCACGAAUCUUAUGAUCAUGAAGCGUGAAAUUUCAGUAACAUUCAUGGGCACCGUGUUCAAUAAAGUAACUACUGCCAAGAAAUUUCUAAAAAAAAUGAAGAACGCUUUGCAAAAGGCGACAAGCCCAAAAUUAGUACGCUUCUAACGAACUUGAAUUCAUUAAAGUAUAAGGCCAAAGAAAAUAUAAGGGAAUACAUCAUGGAUAUGUCACACCUUGCUUCAAACCUAGAGGCGUUAAAAUUUAGUAGGAGAAAACAUAUUAGUCUAGUAUUGUAUAUUGAUGACAUACUACUUGCCUGCAAUGAUAUAGGUUUAUUGUACGAAAUCAAGAGAUUUUUAUCAUGACAUCUUGAAAUGAAAAUUUUUGGUGACGUAUCUUUUGUAUUUGGGAUACAAAUACACCAAGAUCGUUCUUGGGUAUUUUUGAAUUAUUACAAUAGAGUUAUAUCGAUAAUGUUCUUGAAAGAUUUGAGAUAUAGGAAUGUAAAUCAGGUGAUAUCCCUAUUAUUAAGGGAGAUAAGUUUAGUCUCAAUUAAUACCCUAAGAAUAAGUUUAAAGAAAAAGAAAUACAAAAAAUUUCAUUUGCUUUAGCAAUUGUAGUUUAAUGUAUGCUUAGAUUUGCACACAUUCGAAUAUAACAUUCAUUGUUGGAAUGUUGGGCAGAUACUUAAGUAACUCUAGAUUGGAUAUAUGGAAAGUAGUCAAGCAGGUUAUUUGGUAUCUAUAUAGAACUAAGGAUUAUAUGAUCAUAUACAGAAACCAGACCAAUAAGAUAUCACCAGAUAUUUUGAUUUUAAUAAUGGAAUAUAACUGCGAAAUUUUGUCACCAGGCUGCACAAUUUGUAUGGAGUUGAAAGACCACUUAAGUCAUUCCAUAACAAUAAGAGUCUUAUAUUCCAACAGAAGCUCGAUAAUGUCAAAGUUUAUAGACAUUUAGUUCCUAGUUGUUAAGGAAAGAAUCCAAAGUUUUCAGGCUUCUAUAGAGCGUAUUGUGACAAACUUAAAAAUUAUGAAUUUGCUUGCUAAAGUACGACAACCUGAGGUCUUUCAUGUGCAUACUAUUUAGCCCUGGUUUAAGUCACAUUCUUUUGAAAAAAUACAUUCUUAAAUAAUAUUUUCAUAUCAUUUCAACUCACAUUUUUUAGUAAAAUAAUAUUACACGUAAAUUUAAAACUUUUCCAUAUUUUUUAACUACACAUUUUCCAUCAAUACACUAUUUAAAAAUGCAUUCAUAUGGAAAGAAUGUGGCUCAAACAAGGACUUAUAUUAGUAUUGCAACUUUUGAUGAUAUGAUAGUUUAGGGAGAGUUUGUAUUUGGAUGUUGUCUGAUUUAGAUACAUAAUUUUUAUCCAUAAAUAUUCAUUUUAUUUCAUAAAUAAAGUAUUCAAUUUGGUUUCACUUUGAUUAAAAUUUUUGUUUUGAUCUCAUUAAAAAAUAAUGUAGGACCAAUUGGAAAUAGACAUGUUUGGGUCACAUUACAUGUAAUUUUCAUGCUACACAUCUAUUCUUGAUAUAUGUCAUUUGAUUGUGUUGAUAUACGUAACCAUUUAUGAGUUUAGCUAUAUUAUUUAUAACGAAGAUCACUUUGAUCCCAUAUUGAUAUAAUUAAUGGAUGAUAUUGUUUGGAGAUAUUUUUGAUUAUGAUAGCAAAAGUUUUGAGCUCGUAAUGCUCACAUUUAUAAGGUAAUUUAUGUGGUCCAAGUGAGAGAUUGUUGAAAAAUUAUUAAUUUUUCAUGUGGACCUACCUAUGUAAUUAAUUGUAUAUAAAUACUAUCUUAAAGUUAAGCUCAUUUAAAGUGAUCUAAUGAAAAACAAACUCAUUGAGCUUUGGUCAUCUAAAUAAAAUGUGGGCCUAAAUAUGUGUAGAGGUCUGAUUCCUUUAAAAUUAUAUUUUAUGAUGGGCAAAAUACAUAUGAAAAACUAUAUAUAGAGUUAUGAUUCUUACUUCAUAUGUGAUUCUAAUUUUGUGCUUCAUACAAUCAACACAAGAAUAACAAGAGAGAAUAUAUUGAAGGGGAAAAUCCAAAGCCCACAAUCAAGAAGAAAGUAUUGAAACAGUCAAGAUUAUGGAACAAGAAGCCAAAGUCAAGAACAAGAAACCAAGAACUAAAAGAGGCAAUAUUCAAGAUUAAAGGUUACGAAACCAAGUAUAAAGAGAUUGCAAUUGAUCUCCAAGAUUCAAAAUUUGGAAUCAAGAUCAAGUAAUAAAGAAUCAUUCUCAACGAAUUAAGUUAUGUUCUGCAUUUAAUAAUUCUCUUGAUAAUUUGACUCGAGGAUCUUAAGAAUAAGAUAAUUAGAUUUUCAAGUUUUGGAGAUUUAAAGUUUUGUAAAAUACUAACAAAUGUAACUUCAAGUUGUCGAGACUUUAGUUAAUAUUAGUAGCUACAUAAGGUGAAGAGUGGUGAAGAGUUGCUUACACAAAAAGUAACUAAGGUUAAGAUGGAAUACAAAUCCGCAGUAUCUUUCGGCUCACCCGUUUAUUGGGCUGUUGAAUGGAAAUUGAGACCUAUAUAGGAUAUGAUUGGGACUCACAUUGGAAAGGUAUUUUCUAUACUAUUGGGUCAAAAGCCCUUUCCUUUUUCAGCAAACUUGAUAUACAAAUUAAUAACUCUUUAUUGCACUUCUCCAACUUUAUAUGCUAAACUUUUCAAUUGUCUUAAUAGUUAAUAUCAUUUACUUAUGAAUAUAUUAUUGCAAACCAUCGAUUUGAUUGCAUUCUCUCCAUUUUCAUCGACAAUCCUCAUUGUUGUUGCAUUACCAUGAUGUGAUCUAAAACAACAAUAAUAAAGGAAAAAAAGGCUAGUUACUAUUUAUUUAUGGACAUGAAUACCUAAUUUUAUUCAAUUUUAUUGAGCAGUCCAGUGCGACUGUCUACCUCACUACACAAGCCAAACGGACGUGAAUCUAAUCCAAAGUGAAAUCUAAAUCACAAAAUUCAUCAAAACCCUCCAUGUCAAAGCAUUUCAUUUUUGGAGACCAAACCAUUAAGGGGUCCAAAGAUUUCAUGUCAUACCAUAAGCUUGAAUCUGGUGAUGAUUUUGUAUCAGACAUAUCACUCCGUGCUAUGUCUUCUUUAAUUUCAAAGGGAAUGUUAGGUCCUCCACCCACUUGGGAAAUUUUUUCUUCAAAACAAUGUAUAUUAGAAUCAGGAAGAUCUGUAUCUAUAAUUAUUUGUGGGGCCCUCAGUUUAUCUCUGCACGUGUGGUGGCCAAAGUAUGUUGUUCGAUACAAAAUGGGUUGUUCUUUGGUUUUUUGAACUUGCUUUGUAGCCUUGCAACCUUGAUUCUUGUGGGUGCACCUAAAGUAGCUUCUGUAAACCACAAAUAAUGAAAAUUGAGUUAUUUAAUUAUAUUUUUUUUUGUGAAACGUGCUACGUCAUGAGUAAGUCUGGACUCACCUUUUCUUUAGAGACCAUGUAUGUUAAAUAUUCAUAAAUGAAUCAAGUUGAAUCACAUUAUCUACCCAUGUAUUAAUAUUUACCUAGGAUAUUUUGCAUCGAGAAUGAUUUUCUGUCCAUAUUUUCUCCAUGCACAGCCAUCUUCCUUCGCAGGAGAACUUGUUGUCCAUAAGUCACUGGUCUUUCUGCAAAUUCAAUCAAACAAUCUUAUUAAUAUAUAUAAUAAUUAAUUUAAUUUUCUUCCCUAUGAAAAUGAGGUCGAAUUCAAAUAAAUAAAAAGAAAUUGGAUUAACGCUGGAGAAAUUGUUGUCCAUGAGUCACUGGUCUUUCUGCAAAUUCAAUCAAACAAUCUUAUUAAUAUAUAUAAUAAUUAAUUUAAUUUUCUUCCCUAUGAAAAUGAGGUCGAAUUCAAAUAAAUAAAAAGAAAUUGGAUUAACGCUGGAGAAAUUGUUGUCCAUGAGUCACUGGUCUUUCUGCAAAUUCAAUCAAACAAUCUUAUUAAAAUAUAAUAAUUAAUUUAAUUUUUUUCCCUAUGAAAAUGAGGUCGAAUUCAAAUAAAUAAAAAGAAAUUGAAUUUAAUCCAAAAUCCUGGAUUUCGGACGCUUUAAAAUAGGUUCGAUGAUAACUAGUUUCAUUUAGGUUACCCUAAUAGUAUGGCAAGAAUCUACAUUGAAUGGUGAUUUUUAUGGGAUAUUUGGUUAAAAAGUAGAAAAAAAUUUUGAAUUUACGUGUACAAUAUUUUAUUGUAUAAAUUUAUUGUUAAAAAUAAGUGUAUAAAAAAAAGGAGUUUGAAAAUAAUGACCACCAAAGAGGACCAAAUGAAAAUUCCAUAGUUGGUCCUGAUAGAUAGCCCUAGAAGCAAGUUGCUAGGUAUUUAUCACCCUAGUAGCAAGUUAGUUCAAGCAACUCUCUUCAUUUAUGCAAAAUGCCAUGACUUACUUAUCUCGGAGGAGACAAAUACUUGAUCUUAUGAUAGCCCUCACACAUGGAAUUGGUUGGUAGGCUAUAGUUGGUUCAAAGCUUGAGCUACCUUUAAUUAAGUUGAAGUCAGGUAAUCAUUGUAUUAAAAAAAAUUAAAAUUUAUAGAUGGACAUUAUACAUUAUUGAAUAAAGCACACACUGUCUUUUUAUAGGUAACAAGGAGUAUGGUAUCACCAUUCUUGUCUUGCUGAGUUCGAACAAUCUUGCUAUAGUGAUAGGCUUAACGACAGACUCAACGAUAAGGGGACGCAUAUCGAUACAUGAUUAGACAGUUUGAAAAAAAAAUACAACACUCAAUCUUGCCCUGCUACCCCACCCUGUCAUCCCUUCCCUGUCGAAAGGAGGAAUCAAGGAAUUCUCAUAUAGACAACAAUCAUCACAUUAAAGAAAAAUGGAAGUUGAUCAUCAGCCUUUCAUUGUAGUGUGCAAUUUUUACGGCAUGCAUUUAUGGCAUGCCGUGAAAGAAGACUAUUUACGACAUGCACUAUAUAUAUGCCGUAAAAAUUAAUAACUUGACGUAUUUACGGCGUGCAUUUGUGUACGUUGUAAAAUGUGAAUAUUUACGGCGUUCUUUUAGGACAUGCCGUGUUUGUUAAAAAAUUAAAUUUAUUACGGCGUGCAUAUGCACGUCGUAAAUACAUUGACUUAUUAUGGCGUACAUAUACAUGCCGUAAAUACCUUCUAUAUUCCCCCUUUUUAAUUUCCCUAGUUUUAUUCGGCACUUCCAUCAGACGACUUCUUCUUCCUGCGUUCGACCUACUACUUUACGCGCCGUUCUCUCCCACCUUACCACCCUUCAAUUGGCCGUCAACCAUUCAAUCGGCCGUGAGCCCACUAAUAUACUUGUUUGAAUGUUGCCCCAACUAAAUUCCAAAAUCCCUCUUCCUCCCUCCCUUCCUCUUAUCUCAUUUUUAUCCCAAAUCCCGUUCGGAUUUCUUCAACCCCAUCACUAGCCGUAUGUUGGCCGGUCUCUGCUAGUAUGGCAACUUCCCGCUGGCUGCCCGAGCCGACAUGAAUGAUGUGCUCGUGGCCCUCGCGCGCGAGGCUAGGUGGAUCGUUGAUGCUGACGGCACUACCUACAGACAAUCCUCGCAGCCUCUUCCUCCUUCCGCUAAUCUUACUAGUAUUAAUCAUUACAAUAAUAAUACUUCCAAUCUAGUGAGUAUAUUUGGAACUAGAAAAGAACAAGGAUUUUUUAGCUGGUUUUGUUUAUUUCUAGGUUUAUAUAGCCUUUGAAUUGUGUUGCGUUAGUUUGUAGUUGGGUAAAUGACAAUUUUUAGACCUUUUUGUGCUAUGGUAAACGUAAGAACAAGAAUUACGGAAUUAUGGAUGUGUGGGUCGUUGUUUAUUAUGAUCUUUGCCAUUUUCGUUCUAUCAGUUUAAAUUUUGAAUAUCUAUGAUAUGACUACCUUGCAGGAGAUGGAUCUUCCUAUCUAGUUAGUAAUUGAAGAGAGGAGAGUAGAAGAAUUUAUUAUUGUAUCUUCAUUAUUGCCUUACUGUAGUUUGAAGGUUGGAAAGUUCUUAAAUGUUUUCCUUUUUUGCUAUGAAUGUUCAAACUAAAAUUAUCCACUUAAUCAAAUAUAGAUUUUAUGGUUUACACUUGCUAAAUUAAUUGCAUUUUUUUGCUUCAGUUACCUAAUGAUAAGCUUCCCUGAGAGCUUUAGAAGAUGGAACAAAAUCAAAGAAUUUUUGUUGGGGAUUGCAAGUUAUCAAUUUAGUGUGCAUUUGCGUCAAUACCCAGUGAACAUUAUUGACUCUAGCAGUGUUUUAAUGAAUUCAAAACCAAUAAGAGCUGAGGCAUGUCCAGGGUACCUGCUCCAGAAAGACUAGAGGGUGAAAGUGUUGGGUAUGUGGUCCAAAUUUCUUGCAUCUCUUCCUAAUUCUCCCCAUUUCUUGCAUACACAUGGUCCAAAUUUUAUCCCUCUUUUGGAAGAGUUUACGACCCCAACAAAGUAUACUUUUCAGUUUGGCACCUAAUAUUAUGAGUCCAUAAGACAUGUAGAAUGUAUAUUAGGAAAGAAGAGAGGAAACAGAUGCGAUUUCUCUUACAUUGUUAACAGAGAUCAUUAGGGGAUCAAUGUUAAUUUUCUAGGAAUUUCUUUAUGCUGAUAAGAACACGAACACUAUUGUCUCAAAGGGUGUUCAAGGAGCUAAAAUUGAUUAUCAAGAACCCGCAGAUUUAGAGCUUACGAUGGAUAUUGUUACCAACCUUCAGAAGGUUCAUUUUACAUUUUCUUGAUCUUUUCAGUGACCUUUCCUUUAGUUAGCAUU
RNAcentral lists this long non-coding RNA (19353 nucleotides) under Olea europaea (common olive). RNAcentral's name for it is "long non-coding RNA (OEUR_LNC004682)". Lineage: Eukaryota; Viridiplantae; Streptophyta; Magnoliopsida; Lamiales; Oleaceae. The record is from RNAcentral.